This 334-nucleotide ribosomal RNA is filed under the name uncultured eukaryote. RNAcentral describes it as "partial 18S ribosomal RNA". It matches the Rfam family "Eukaryotic small subunit ribosomal RNA", at positions 1470 to 1796 of the family's 1831-position model. The record is from RNAcentral.
CCCUUAGAUGUUCUGGGCUGCACGCGCGCUACACUGAUGCACUCAACGAGUUUACGACCUUGCCCGAUAGGGUUGGGUAAUCUUUUUAAAAUGCAUCGUGAUGGGGAUAGAUUAUUGCAAUUAUUAAUCUUCAACGAGGAAUUCCUAGUAAGCGCGAGUCAUCAGCUCGUGCUGAUUACGUCCCUGCCCUUUGUACACACCGCCCGUCGCUACUACCGAUUGGAUGGUUUAGCGAGAACUUUGGACCGGAGCUCGGGUGGUCAGCAAUGGCCGCCCGAGACAUACUGGGAAAUCGCUCCAGCUUGAUCAUCUAGAGGAAGUAAAAGUCGUAACA